UACGGAGGGUGCAAGCGUUAAUCGGAAUUACUGGGCGUAAAGCGCACGCAGGCGGUCUGUCAAGUCGGAUGUGAAAUCCCCGGGCUCAACCUGGGAACUGCAUCCGAAACUGGCAGGCUUGAGUCUCGUAGAGGGGGGUAGAAUUCCAGGUGUAGCGGUGAAAUGCGUAGAGAUCUGGAGGAAUACCGGUGGCGAAGGCGGCCCCCUGGACGAAGACUGACGCUCAGGUGCGAAAGCGUGGGGAGCAAACAGG
RNAcentral lists this ribosomal RNA (253 nucleotides) under uncultured bacterium. Its description in RNAcentral is "partial 16S ribosomal RNA". It matches the Rfam family "Bacterial small subunit ribosomal RNA", at positions 524 to 776 of the family's 1533-position model. The record is from RNAcentral.